Molecule: transfer RNA, 64 nt
Filed under: Versteria mustelae
Lineage: Eukaryota; Metazoa; Platyhelminthes; Cestoda; Cyclophyllidea; Taeniidae
Description: tRNA-Ile
Source: RNAcentral
UUAAUAGGGCUGCUGUAGCAGGUCACUUUGAUAUAGUGAAUAGUGAAUUAUGAAUUCCGUUAAU